UGAGGAACAUGACCUUCGGCGGGGGAUAGCCGGCCCAACGGCCGGGUAAUACCGCGUACGACCAUUUGGGGACAUCCCUGGGUGGUGAAAGCAGCAAUGCGCCGAUGGAGUGCCUCGCGGCCUAUCAGCUAGUUGGUGAGGUAACGGCUCACCAAGGCGACGACGGGUAGCUGGUCUGAGAGGAUGGCCAGCCACAUUGGGACUGAGACGCGGCCCAGACCUCCUACGGGAGCAG
This 235-nucleotide ribosomal RNA is filed under the name uncultured bacterium. RNAcentral describes it as "partial 16S ribosomal RNA". It matches the Rfam family "Bacterial small subunit ribosomal RNA", at positions 118 to 347 of the family's 1533-position model. The record is from RNAcentral.